This 2902-nucleotide ribosomal RNA is filed under the name Escherichia coli. Its description in RNAcentral is "bacterial LSU rRNA". It matches the Rfam family "Bacterial large subunit ribosomal RNA". The record is from RNAcentral. Lineage: Bacteria; Pseudomonadati; Pseudomonadota; Gammaproteobacteria; Enterobacterales; Enterobacteriaceae.
UUAAGCGACUAAGCGUACACGGUGGAUGCCCUGGCAGUCAGAGGCGAUGAAGGACGUGCUAAUCUGCGAUAAGCGUCGGUGAGGUGAUAUGAACCGUUAUAACCGGCGAUUUCCGAAUGGGGAAACCCAGUGUGUUUCGACACACUAUCAUUAACUGAAUCCAUAGGUUAAUGAGGCGAACCGGGGGAACUGAAACAUCUAAGUACCCCGAGGAAAAGAAAUCAACCGAGAUUCCCCCAGUAGCGGCGAGCGAACGGGGAGGAGCCCAGAGCCUGAAUCAAUGUGUGUGUUAGUGGAAGCGUCUGGAAAGGCGCGCGAUACAGGGUGACAGCCCCGUACACAAAAAUGCACAUAUUGUGAGCUCGAUGAGUAGGGCGGGACACGUGGUAUCCUGUCUGAAUAUGGGGGGACCAUCCUCCAAGGCUAAAUACUCCUGACUGACCGAUAGUGAACCAGUACCGUGAGGGAAAGGCGAAAAGAACCCCGGCGAGGGGAGUGAAAAAGAACCUGAAACCGUGUACGUACAAGCAGUGGGAGCCUCUUAAUGGGGUGACUGCGUACCUUUUGUAUAAUGGGUCAGCGACUUAUAUUCUGUAGCAAGGUUAACCGAAUAGGGGAGCCGAAGGGAAACCGAGUCUUAACUGGGCGUUAAGUUGCAGGGUAUAGACCCGAAACCCGGUGAUCUAGCCAUGGGCAGGUUGAAGGUUGGGUAACACUAACUGGAGGACCGAACCGACUAAUGUUGAAAAAUUAGCGGAUGACUUGUGGCUGGGGGUGAAAGGCCAAUCAAACCGGGAGAUAGCUGGUUCUCCCCGAAAGCUAUUUAGGUAGCGCCUCGUGAAUUCAUCUCCGGGGGUAGAGCACUGUUUCGGCAAGGGGGUCAUCCCGACUUACCAACCCGAUGCAAACUGCGAAUACCGGAGAAUGUUAUCACGGGAGACACACGGCGGGUGCUAACGUCCGUCGUGAAGAGGGAAACAACCCAGACCGCCAGCUAAGGUCCCAAAGUCAUGGUUAAGUGGGAAACGAUGUGGGAAGGCCCAGACAGCCAGGAUGUUGGCUUAGAAGCAGCCAUCAUUUAAAGAAAGCGUAAUAGCUCACUGGUCGAGUCGGCCUGCGCGGAAGAUGUAACGGGGCUAAACCAUGCACCGAAGCUGCGGCAGCGACACUAUGUGUUGUUGGGUAGGGGAGCGUUCUGUAAGCCUGUGAAGGUGUACUGUGAGGUAUGCUGGAGGUAUCAGAAGUGCGAAUGCUGACAUAAGUAACGAUAAAGCGGGUGAAAAGCCCGCUCGCCGGAAGACCAAGGGUUCCUGUCCAACGUUAAUCGGGGCAGGGUGAGUCGACCCCUAAGGCGAGGCCGAAAGGCGUAGUCGAUGGGAAACAGGUUAAUAUUCCUGUACUUGGUGUUACUGCGAAGGGGGGACGGAGAAGGCUAUGUUGGCCGGGCGACGGUUGUCCCGGUUUAAGCGUGUAGGCUGGUUUUCCAGGCAAAUCCGGAAAAUCAAGGCUGAGGCGUGAUGACGAGGCACUACGGUGCUGAAGCGACAAAUGCCCUGCUUCCAGGAAAAGCCUCUAAGCAUCAGGUAACAUCAAAUCGUACCCCAAACCGACACAGGUGGUCAGGUAGAGAAUACCAAGGCGCUUGAGAGAACUCGGGUGAAGGAACUAGGCAAAAUGGUGCCGUAACUUCGGGAGAAGGCACGCUGAUAUGUAGGUGAAGCGACUUGCUCGUGGAGCUGAAAUCAGUCGAAGAUACCAGCUGGCUGCAACUGUUUAUUAAAAACACAGCACUGUGCAAACACGAAAGUGGACGUAUACGGUGUGACGCCUGCCCGGUGCCGGAAGGUUAAUUGAUGGGGUUAGCGGUAACGCGAAGCUCUUGAUCGAAGCCCCGGUAAACGGCGGCCGUAACUAUAACGGUCCUAAGGUAGCGAAAUUCCUUGUCGGGUAAGUUCCGACCUGCACGAAUGGCGUAAUGAUGGCCAGGCUGUCUCCACCCGAGACUCAGUGAAAUUGAACUCGCUGUGAAGAUGCAGUGUACCCGCGGCAAGACGGAAAGACCCCGUGAACCUUUACUAUAGCUUGACACUGAACAUUGAGCCUUGAUGUGUAGGAUAGGUGGGAGGCUUUGAAGUGUGGACGCCAGUCUGCAUGGAGCCGACCUUGAAAUACCACCCUUUAAUGUUUGAUGUUCUAACGUGGGCCCCUUACCGGGGUUGCGGACAGUGUCUGGUGGGUAGUUUGACUGGGGCGGUCUCCUCCUAAAGAGUAACGGAGGAGCACGAAGGUUGGCUAAUCCUGGUCGGACAUCAGGAGGUUAGUGCAAUGGCAUAAGCCAGCUUGACUGCGAGCGUGACGGCGCGAGCAGGUGCGAAAGCAGGUCAUAGUGAUCCGGUGGUUCUGAAUGGAAGGGCCAUCGCUCAACGGAUAAAAGGUACUCCGGGGAUAACAGGCUGAUACCGCCCAAGAGUUCAUAUCGACGGCGGUGUUUGGCACCUCGAUGUCGGCUCAUCACAUCCUGGGGCUGAAGUAGGUCCCAAGGGUAUGGCUGUUCGCCAUUUAAAGUGGUACGCGAGCUGGGUUUAGAACGUCGUGAGACAGUUCGGUCCCUAUCUGCCGUGGGCGCUGGAGAACUGAGGGGGGCUGCUCCUAGUACGAGAGGACCGGAGUGGACGCAUCACUGGUGUUCGGGUUGUCAUGCCAAUGGCACUGCCCGGUAGCUAAAUGCGGAAGAGAUAAGUGCUGAAAGCAUCUAAGCACGAAACUUGCCCCGAGAUGAGUUCUCCCUGACUCCUUGAGAGUCCUGAAGGAACGUUGAAGACGACGACGUUGAUAGGCCGGGUGUGUAAGCGCAGCGAUGCGUUGAGCUAACCGGUACUAAUGAACCGUGAGGCUUAACCUU